UGCCCGCGCACCCGGGAGGCGGCGGACGGCUCAGGACAACGGUUGCACCCCCCGCGGCGGUCCCUGCUAGCCGGACACCGCUGGCAACCCGGCGCCAAGACGUGCGCGCAAGGGCGGGCGCCCGCGGGCGAGCAGCGUGACGCAGCGACGGCCCGCCCGGGCUUCCGGGGCAUCACCCGGUCGGCGCGGUCGCGGCGCGCCGGGGGCCCGACGCCUGGCGGAGAAUCAGGGUUCGACUCCGGAGAGCGGGCCUGAGAGACGGCCCGCACAUCCAAGGACGGCAGCAGGCGCGGAACUUGCCCAAUGCGCGCGCGCGAGGCAGCGACGGGGAGUGCGCGAGCGAGGCGGGCCCACAGCCC
This 359-nucleotide ribosomal RNA is filed under the name Giardia duodenalis. Its description in RNAcentral is "SSU rRNA". It matches the Rfam family "Eukaryotic small subunit ribosomal RNA", at positions 58 to 470 of the family's 1831-position model. Lineage: Eukaryota; Fornicata; Diplomonadida; Hexamitidae. The record is from RNAcentral.